GGGCCGCCGGCAGCCUUAACAUGCAAGUCGAACGGUAGCACGGACAUCUUGCUGCUGGGUGAUGAGCUGACGGAUGAGUGAUGUAUGUCAGCGAGACUGCCAGAUGGAGAGGGAUACCCACAGGCGUCGCUAACUCCUACCACACCCUGCCGCGGAACCCAAGAGAUCGACCUACCUUGCUCUUGUCAACCGAUGUACCUCGAAGUAAUUAGCUGGUGGGUGAACUGAUCGCUCACGUAACCAACCAUCCCUGGCUGGACAGAAAGAACGACCACCCUGGCAGUGACAGACACACCGUACUCACACCGAAGGCAGGCAUGGGUGAUUUUGAAUGCUGGGUGAGACCCUGCCCGAUGCAUCCCUGCUGCGUGAAUAAAGACUGCCUUCUGGUUGUCACUU
Molecule: ribosomal RNA, 399 nt
Filed under: bacterium PD-P26
Lineage: Bacteria
Description: bacterial SSU rRNA
Source: RNAcentral